AGUAAACGCAGACGUCUGAUAAACAAGUUAAUAAACUAAAACUUUCAACAACGGAUCUCUUGGUUCUGGCAUCGAUGAAGAACGCAGCGAAAUGCGAUAAGUAAUGUGAAUUGCAGAAUUCAGUGAAUCAUCGAAUCUUUGAACGCACAUUGCGCCCCUUGGUAUUCCGGGGGGCAUGCCUGUUCGAGCGUCAUUACAACCCUCAAGCUCUGCUUGGAAUUGGGCACCGUCCUCAUUGCGGACGCGCCUCAAAGACCUCGGCGGUGGCUGUUCAGCCCUCAAGCGUAGUAGAAUACACCUCGCUUUGGAGCGGUUGGCGUCGCCCGCCGGACGAACCUUCUGAACUUUUCUCAAGGUUGACCUCGGAUCAGGUAGGGAUACCCGCUGAACUUAAGCAUAU
RNAcentral lists this ribosomal RNA (400 nucleotides) under Lasiodiplodia theobromae. RNAcentral's name for it is "eukaryotic LSU rRNA". The stretch from base 40 to 193 matches the Rfam family "5.8S ribosomal RNA". Lineage: Eukaryota; Fungi; Ascomycota; Dothideomycetes; Botryosphaeriales; Botryosphaeriaceae. The record is from RNAcentral.